CUUUGGUGAAACAGUAACAAUGCAGAAUAACGUGCAACAGCUACAAAGCAGAAGGUCGAAGGGUUGAACCACAGGGCAGCCUGUCACUUCAAUCGCCCGCCACUGCUCCGAUGAGAUUCUGCAGCUCUUGUCUGUCGAAGUGAAGCAUCUCAUAACAUGAGGGGAGGACCUGGCAUUGUCAGAACUCUAGACUACAGACCUCCUGCACUGCGUGUAUUUAUCACUGGAAUGCCAUGCAUGUGAAUGCAGACCAAACUUUGUCUGAUAAGGAAGAAACAAGAUCUGCGGAGGACAAUCGACAAAGCUGUAACCUUGAAAGGGUGCCCCUUGGCAUAAACUGCGGGUGCACUGAUCCACUCACUACACUGGAGAGUGAUCACUCACAUUGUAACACCCCCCCAACCCCCACUGUGAUUAACCACAUGCUGAGUUCACAAUCUCUAUUGGGCCAUUGAAGGAGGUCAUAGCAAAGGUGCAGCCUCCUGCCGGAGAAAAGAGGUGGAGGCCAUGAAAUGGUAGCAUGCCGACUGAUGCCUUGCCACUUUUAGUCAGCUCAUUCAAGAAUGGCAGAAGCAAGGGCAGUGGCCUGAAAACCAGUUGCUUGCUCUGUUGCUAUGUGGCAGGGAGUGACCUAAAUAAAUGAGGAAGGCGAUUUACAAAAAGCGGGGAAGAAGUUAUAACCUUGAAAAUAUUCCUUUCACCAGAUCCUUGAGGGUUAAAUGUAUUCCACGCAUUACAAAUGCACCAUGUUAAUUUUGAGCGAUCAGCAUAAGAUGACAGAUGCACAAUUCAUUUUAUGAUAUGAUUCUUUGCACUUCAAACCCUCCAAAUAGAGUGUUAGUAAACUGGAAAGCAAUCAGAAGUUCUUCCUUCACCAGACCAUGUAUAAAAACCUUAUUGAUAUUAUUCUUGAAACUUAAGCAGAGAAAUUUUCUGUAUCAGAAACAACACAGAAAAAAGCAUACAAUGAAUAAUGUCUUAUCUGUCUUCAGUUGUCAGCCUAAAACUCUCAUACAGAAUUUAAUAAAUCUAAUUUUGAAUGCAUGCCAGAAUGCACCAAGCCUACCCUUGGUUUAGUUUAAAAGGGUCAAAAUAUUUCCACAUUGGUAGCGCACACAUUAAUCAUAUGUCCAGUGGAUUUUGAAAAUUGGAAGAGACAAGUCCAAGCAAAAUUUUAAAUUAAUUGGGUCUACCCCAGCAUUCAGGGUCACCUUGUGUCAGUUGUCCCACAUUUUCCAGGUCAUGGGGUUCCUAUUCAUUGUACAGCUGGCAUGAAGAGAGAUAUGUGCUGUGGGCAAAGAAAGGUGAAAGAACUCUACUCUGAAAGUGUGAAUUUUCCUACAGGCAAUAACAACAAUUGCUGCUGCAGAUUGUCGUUAGACACUAACCACUUAAAUAAUGCAUGCUCUGCUGAGGACUCUGUUUGGUGCAUUUUCUAAUCAAGUAGUCAAGCGAUUUUGUAAACACUCUGUUGUUUACCAUAGGUUCACUGGGCUGAUUAUGACUUACAUAUAAUUAGUACUGCUGCUAUUCAUAAUUGUUCAUUCUAGAUCAGAAAUUUCUCCAAAGUAACAAUCUUAUUGUGGAAAGUUGCCAUUGAUUAUA
This is a long non-coding RNA of Hypanus sabinus (Atlantic stingray), 1605 nucleotides long. RefSeq lists it as uncharacterized. The record is from RefSeq and is a predicted model, not a curated record. The transcript is spliced from 3 exons. NCBI's taxonomy places the organism in Eukaryota, Metazoa, Chordata, Chondrichthyes, Myliobatiformes, Dasyatidae.